This 72-nucleotide transfer RNA is filed under the name Piromyces finnis. It matches the Rfam family "tRNA". From Rfam's summary of the family: Transfer RNA (tRNA) molecules are approximately 80 nucleotides in length. Their secondary structure includes four short double-helical elements and three loops (D, anti-codon, and T loops). Further hydrogen bonds mediate the characteristic L-shaped molecular structure. tRNAs have two regions of fundamental functional importance: the anti-codon, which is responsible for specific mRNA codon recognition, and the 3' end, to which the tRNAs corresponding amino acid is attached (by aminoacyl-tRNA synthetases). tRNAs cope with the degeneracy of the genetic code in two manners: having more than one tRNA (with a specific anti-codon) for a particular amino acid; and 'wobble' base-pairing, i.e. permitting non-standard base-pairing at the 3rd anti-codon position. The record is from Rfam by way of RNAcentral. Lineage: Eukaryota; Fungi; Neocallimastigomycota; Neocallimastigomycetes; Neocallimastigales; Neocallimastigaceae.
GGCUCAAUGGUCUAGUGGUAUGAUUCUCGCUUAGGGUGCGAGAGGUCCCGGGUUCAAUUCCCGGUUGAGCCC